GCUUCUCUCACAGGAGUUUAGAGGAUAAACACAGAAAUCUGAGGGGGAGAUGUGGAGUGACCGGUACAGGUAGUUUAAGGUCAACUGAGCUGCGAUUUGGUAACUAGAAACCAAGUGAUUUUACACACUAACAAUCCUUUAUCACACUAAAGUUUGUGAAAUCUGUUCUUCUCCUCUUGUCCCUGUUUUCAGGCUUAACCAUCUCUUUUCUUCUUGCAGUUACUACACGUUUCCUACAUCUACCACCAGCAUUUCUCAGCCGUCCACUGCUGCUUCUCAUUCUCAACUGAUCAGGAAUUGUCCCAGAUGCAGUCAUGAGGAAUCCAUCUUCACAAACUCCAAGUGACAAAAAAAUUGACCAGAGACUCCACAUCUGUCAAGAGCUGAGUAUGUUUAACAGGUAGGAUUCAGAUGUUCAUUCUCUCUCCCAAACAUACUCUACAUGCUCACUGGUUAUUUUUACGGUACUCCUGACUUACAGACUGGAGUCCAUCUGUUUCUUUGUAUACACUGAUGCCCCCCUUCUCUUUUUACAGGGCCACCACAGAGCAGGUAUUAUUCAUGAAACAUUCUCAGCACU
This is a long non-coding RNA of Colossoma macropomum (tambaqui), 580 nucleotides long. RefSeq lists it as uncharacterized. The record is from RefSeq and is a predicted model, not a curated record. The transcript has 3 exons. Lineage: Eukaryota; Metazoa; Chordata; Actinopteri; Characiformes; Serrasalmidae.